UACGGAGGAUGCGAGCGUUAUCCGGAUUUAUUGGGUUUAAAGGGUGCGUAGGCGGCUUUUUAAGUCAGCGGUGAAAUUUUGCAGCUUAACUGUAACAGUGCCGUUGAUACUGGGGAGCUAGGAUUUGGUUGCUGUGGGUGGAAUGUGUGGUGUAGCGGUGAAAUGCUUAGAGAUCACACAGAAUAUCGAUUGCGAAGGCAGCUCACAAAGCCGAGAUUGACGCUGAGGAACGAAAGUGUGGGGAUCAAACAGGAUUAGA
RNAcentral lists this ribosomal RNA (259 nucleotides) under uncultured prokaryote. RNAcentral describes it as "partial 16S ribosomal RNA". It matches the Rfam family "Bacterial small subunit ribosomal RNA", at positions 524 to 782 of the family's 1533-position model. The record is from RNAcentral.